GAUGAACGCUAGCGGCAGGCUUAAUACAUGCAAGUCGAGGGGCAGCAGGGGUGUAGCAAUACACUCGCUGGCGACCGGCAAACGGGUGCGGAACACGUACGCAACUUUACCCAAAACGUGGGGAAUAGCCCGGGGAAACCCGGAUUAAUACCUCGUAACAUAGUGAAGUGGCAUUCACUUUUAUUAUUAUAGCUCCGGCGGUUUUGGAUGGGCGUGCGCCUGAUUAGGUAGUUGGCGGGGUAACGCCCACCAAGCCUACGAUCAGUAACUGGUGUGAGAGCACGACCAGUCACACGGGCACUGAGACACGGGCCCGACUCCUACGGGAGGCAGCAGUAAGGAUAUGGUCAAUGGACGCAAGUCUGAACCAGCCAUGCCGCGUGAA
This 385-nucleotide ribosomal RNA is filed under the name uncultured bacterium. RNAcentral describes it as "bacterial SSU rRNA". It matches the Rfam family "Bacterial small subunit ribosomal RNA", at positions 28 to 405 of the family's 1533-position model. The record is from RNAcentral.